GCUCGCUAUUUCGACACAAACAAACGAUAUGGGUCUAGAAACAUCUCUCCUCUGUUCCAUCGAAACUUAGGUGAACUCUUUGAGUUCUCCUUCAGAAUUUGAAGAAAACCAUUUCGGAUUUAUUUCUUAUAUUGCUUUUGUUCACGAGAAGACAUGCAGUAACGUAGUUGUGAACUUGUGAUCCUUUUAUAUGUCAAUAACUUGCUGAUCAUACGGAUGAUGACAAGAUGGUUGAAGAAUCUAAGAGGUACUGCACUAAAAUUUCAAGAUAAAAGAUCUAGAAGAGUCGAAAUUCUUCCUUCGAAUUGAAUUUGCCGGGUUAUAAUAAUAAAUCUGAUGUAUCAACAUAUGUAUGCUAUCAUAAAUCUUAAAGCUGAGGUUAGAACAAUGAGAUUACAGAUUAAAUUGACGGUAUCAUAUAAAACUAACAGGUAAUCCUUUAGAGCUCAAGUUGAAUUUCGCAAGUGCUAAACUUGACGAGCACACAGGAAACAGUGUAAGGUUCUAUAGAAUGCUGGAGUUGCCAUAGAUUGAUUGGCAUAAUUGUUAUAGUCAUAGUGUAUAAUUGUGUUGUCGAGUAUUAGAUUGUUACUCAGUGUAUAAUAAUUGACAUGAGGUUGUUUCCUUUGUUUAUUUAAGUUGAUAGAUGUAGUAGUGCGGGACAUA
This is a non-coding RNA of Nicotiana tabacum (common tobacco), 666 nucleotides long. NCBI's taxonomy places the organism in Eukaryota, Viridiplantae, Streptophyta, Magnoliopsida, Solanales, Solanaceae. The record is from RefSeq and is a predicted model, not a curated record.